This 253-nucleotide ribosomal RNA is filed under the name uncultured bacterium. RNAcentral's name for it is "partial 16S ribosomal RNA". It matches the Rfam family "Bacterial small subunit ribosomal RNA", at positions 524 to 776 of the family's 1533-position model. The record is from RNAcentral.
UACGUAGGGGGCAAGCGUUGUCCGGAUUUAUUGGGCGUAAAGAGCGUGUAGGCGGCCAUACAGGUCAGCUGUGAAAACUCGAGGCUCAACCUCGAGACGUCGGUUGAAACCGUAUGGCUAGAGUCCGGAAGAGGAGAGUGGAAUUCCCGGUGUAGCGGUGAAAUGCGCAGAUAUCGGGAAGAACACCGAUGGCGAAGGCAGCUCGCUGGGACGGUACUGACGCUGAGACGCGAAAGCGUGGGGAGCAAACAGG